AGAGUUUGAUCAUGGCUCAGGACGAACGCUGGCGGCGUGCCUAACACAUGCAAGUCGAGCGGUCUCGCCUAUAGCAAAAGGCCUUCGGGCUUCGAGCAAAGGCGAGAUAGCGGCGGACGGGUGAGUAACGCGUGGCUUAUCUGUCCCAGGGAGGGGGAUAACGUCUGGAAACGGGCGCUAAUACCCCAUAUGCCGGUGAGGUAAAAAGGAGAAAUCCGCCCUGGGGUGAGGCCGCGUCCUAUCAGCUAGUUGGUGAGGUAACGGCCCACCAAGGCUAUGACGGGUAGCCGGCCUGAGAGGGCGGCUGGCCACACUGGGAUUGAGAUACGGCCCAGACUCCUACGGGAGGCAGCAGUGGGGAAUAUUGGGCAAUGGGGGAAACCCUGACCCAGCGACGCCGCGUGGAGGAAGGAGCCCUUCGGGGUGUAAACUCCUGUUGUAAGGGAAGAAGACAGUGACGGUACCUUACGAGGAAGCCCCGGCAAACUACGUGCCAGCAGCCGCGGUAACACGUAGGGGGCGAGCGUUGUCCGGAAUCACUGGGCGUAAAGCGCACGCAGGCGGAUGCGCGCGUCGGCUGUGAAAUGCACCGGCUCCACCGGUGCACUGCGGUCGAUACGGCGCGUCUGGAGUGCGGGAGAGGGAAGCGGAAUUCCCGGUGUAGCGGUGAAAUGCGUAGAUAUCGGGAGGAACGCCGGUGGCGAAGGCGGCUUCCUGGCCCGCAACUGACGCUCAUGUGCGAAAGCCAGGGGAGCGAACCGGAUUAGAUACCCGGGUAGUCCUGGCCGUAAACGAUGGACGCUAGGUGUGGGCGGUUUAUCCGUCUGUGCCGAAGUUAACGCGUUAAGCGUCCCGCCUGGGGAGUACGAUCGCAAGGUUGAAACUCAAAUGAAUUGACGG
Molecule: ribosomal RNA, 900 nt
Filed under: bacterium enrichment culture clone L55B-7
Lineage: Bacteria
Description: bacterial SSU rRNA
Rfam family: Bacterial small subunit ribosomal RNA
Source: RNAcentral